GCCAUCUGUUUUCAUUAAGGUCUUCAGAUGCCUGUCAUGGGCACUGCUGAGAAAGCCACUUGGAAGAGCUAAUGGCAAACA
Ictidomys tridecemlineatus (thirteen-lined ground squirrel) is the source of this 81-nucleotide small nucleolar RNA. NCBI's taxonomy places the organism in Eukaryota, Metazoa, Chordata, Mammalia, Rodentia, Sciuridae. The record is from Ensembl.